AUAGAAAAACUUUCAUAUCCAACUAUUUAGAGUCUCAUCUUAAGCUAAUUAAGACGAUUUUUAAAUUAUAUCAACACUUCAUUCAUAACGUAUAUGAACAAAGUAAUCAUAUUACAACUACUCAAGUUUAAUAUUAUUAUCUACUCUUAUCCUUCUCACCACAUAGGUGGCAGGGAGAUCUCCGUGUGAGUGGGUUGAUCUGAGCCUGCUACCUUAUCGAAUAUGUGCAUACUAGUAUCAAUUAUUUAAUCAUAUUAGAAGGAAAAAAAAUAUAUUUUCAUUAAGAAAACGUAGGGUAUAAAAUAAUAUCCAUAUAUCAAAACCUAAGAAGAUCCAAACUUCUACCACGGGUCUGGAACAUAUUCCUAGCUAUCGGCUUGGUCAACGGAUCAGUUACCAU
This 400-nucleotide long non-coding RNA is filed under the name Ananas comosus (pineapple). RNAcentral's name for it is "long non-coding RNA (ACOM_LNC005466)". The record is from RNAcentral. Lineage: Eukaryota; Viridiplantae; Streptophyta; Magnoliopsida; Poales; Bromeliaceae.